AACGAACGCUGGCGGCAUGCCUAACACAUGCAAGUCGAACGAGACCUUCGGGUCUCGUGGCGCACGGGUGCGUAACGCGUGGGAACCUGCCCUUAGGUUCGGAAUAACUCCCCGAAAGGGGUGCUAAUACCGGAUCAUGUCUUCGGACCAAAGAUUUAUCGCCGUUGGAUGGGCCCGCGUUGGAUUAGCUAGUUGGUAGGGUAAAAGCCUACCAGGGCGACGAUCCAUAGCUGGUCUGAGAGGAUGAUCAGCCACACUGGGACUGAGACACGGCCCAGACUACUACGGGAGGCAGCAGUGGGGAAUAUUGGAAAAUGGGCGAAAGCAUGAUCCAGCAAUGCCGCGUGAGUGAUGAAGGCCUUAGGGUUGUAAAGCUCUUUUACCCGGGAUGAUAAUGACAGUACCGGGAGAAUAAGCUCCGGCUAACUCCGUG
RNAcentral lists this ribosomal RNA (433 nucleotides) under uncultured bacterium. RNAcentral's name for it is "partial 16S ribosomal RNA". It matches the Rfam family "Bacterial small subunit ribosomal RNA", at positions 29 to 507 of the family's 1533-position model. The record is from RNAcentral.